GCCGUGGUCGCAUAACCUGGUAGUGCGCGGGUCUCGAAAACCCGUUCCUUCGGGAAUUCCCGGUUCGAAUCCGGGCCACGGCG
Molecule: transfer RNA, 83 nt
Filed under: Candidatus Woesearchaeota archaeon
Lineage: Archaea; Nanobdellati; Candidatus Woesearchaeota
Description: tRNA-Ser
Rfam family: tRNA
About the family: Transfer RNA (tRNA) molecules are approximately 80 nucleotides in length.
Source: RNAcentral